Girardinichthys multiradiatus is the source of this 1023-nucleotide long non-coding RNA. RefSeq lists it as uncharacterized. The transcript is spliced from 3 exons. NCBI's taxonomy places the organism in Eukaryota, Metazoa, Chordata, Actinopteri, Cyprinodontiformes, Goodeidae. The record is from RefSeq and is a predicted model, not a curated record.
GGUGCAUCCCUCCAAGAGUGUUUAAGAGUCUUCAUCCAAAUAACCUGAACUAGAUAAAACAGCUGCUUACUCCAUUCCACAGAACGGCUUUCAAGCCGGAUUCAACAGCUGUUGUGCAGCAUAGCUGGGAAAGGGGGAAGUGACCACCACACAUCCAGAGAUCCAGUCAGGUUCAUUAACAGGUGACAGAACAUUACUCAAACCAAAGUAAGGCGUUGAUUACCUGAUGAAGCUGUAUUCUGGGCUAAGUAGACGGAUCCUUCAUUUUCUCUCUGCUGAAGGCCAGGAUUCAGUGCCUGGUCAUCCUGGCGGGAGUAGGUUGCUGGUCUACACAACGCAUUCGCUUGGCACAUGGUUUGUCAUCUCUUCUGAAGAAUAUGGGCUCAGUUUCCCAGCCAGUAGAAACAGUCCUGCCAGAAACCCGGAGGCUACAUCCGUGUGUGUGUGCCAUCUACUACCCUGCAGUCUCCAGAGCCAAAUCCAAAGACUUCAUCAUUCUCGGAUUGUCAUCCACACAUCAUUUCUGUUGAAUAAGAUGGAUCAUCUGACUUUCUUGCAAACAUCAAGAUGUCUGAAUUUCCAAACCUGACUAUCAAAGGUUCUCCUGGAGGCACUGUAGCAACUUCUUGGUCACAUCAUAUGCAGCUGCAUCUUGUAGUUGCCUGAGGUGUGAGCUUGUCCUUGCUUGCAAGCAGAGGUGCAGAGAACGUAAAAGUGUGGUUGGAUAGCACAUCAGUCUUCUGACCUCUGCCAGGCACUGAGAAGCAAUAAAACUCUCUCCCUGCUUAGGAGCUGUGGCAGCUCAUCCCUCAAAUGUGAGUGUGAUUGGCUGAGUUUGCUAAAAAAAAACAUUAAAUUGCAGGGAGCUUUUGUGUCACAUCUCUUCAAUAUCCUGACUCUCACAGAGAAAAAAACAGGAAACAUCACAGCUUUCUAUCAAACAUUUAAAAUUGGUUGCAUACACUGUUCUGUAGUUCAGACAUAGGUUUAAUAUGAUUACUGUUAGCUUCAUUAUGAAGACUU